Molecule: ribosomal RNA, 24 nt
Filed under: Melanoleuca exscissa
Lineage: Eukaryota; Fungi; Basidiomycota; Agaricomycetes; Agaricales; Pluteaceae
Description: partial 28S ribosomal RNA
Source: RNAcentral
UUACCCUCAAUAGGUAGACUACCC